Molecule: ribosomal RNA, 277 nt
Filed under: uncultured prokaryote
Description: partial 16S ribosomal RNA
Rfam family: Bacterial small subunit ribosomal RNA
Source: RNAcentral
UACGUAGGGGGCUAGCGUUAUCCGGAAUUACUGGGCGUAAAGGGUGCGUAGGCGGUCUUUCAAGCCAGAAGUGAAAGGCUACGGCUCAACCGUAGUAAGCUUUUGGAACUGUAAGACUUGAGUGCAGGAGAGGAGAGUGGAAUUCCUAGUGUAGCGGUGAAAUGCGUAGAUAUUAGGAGGAACACCAGUAGCGAAGGCGGCUUCCUGGUCUGUAACUGACACUGAGGCGCGAAAGCGUGGGGAGCAAACAGGAUUAGAUACCCCGGUAGUCCCUGAG